Corvus moneduloides (New Caledonian crow) is the source of this 187-nucleotide small nuclear RNA. Its record names the gene U2. It matches the Rfam family "U2 spliceosomal RNA". From Rfam's summary of the family: U2 is a small nuclear RNA (snRNA) component of the spliceosome (involved in pre-mRNA splicing). Complementary binding between U2 snRNA (in an area lying towards the 5' end but 3' to hairpin I) and the branchpoint sequence (BPS) of the intron results the bulging out of an unpaired adenosine, on the BPS, which initiates a nucleophilic attack at the intronic 5' splice site, thus starting the first of two transesterification reactions that mediate splicing. Lineage: Eukaryota; Metazoa; Chordata; Aves; Passeriformes; Corvidae. The record is from Ensembl.
CUCUAAUCUCUGAUCUUUGUCUAAGGUCAAGUUUAACAUCUGUUCAUAACAAUUAAAUAUCUUUUACAUCCUUGGCUUGAAGAUGUCAUAUUAAGCAGACUUUUGGGCCAAAGGAUGGGUUAAAACUUUUUCUGUCUGUCCAAUGCACCUGCCUGUUACUGCAGUGUCUCUAAAAGCAGCACACCAA